UACGAAGGGGGCUAGCGUUGCUCGGAAUUACUGGGCGUAAAGGGCGCGUAGGCGGAUAUUUAAGUCAGGGGUGAAAGCCCGGGGCUCAACCCCGGAAUUGCCUUUGAUACUGGAUAUCUUGAGUUCGGGAGAGGUGAGUGGAAUGCCGAGUGUAGAGGUGAAAUUCGUAGAUAUUCGGCGGAACACCAGUGGCGAAGGCGACUCACUGGCCCGAUACUGACGCUGAGGCGCGAAAGCGUGGGGAGCAAACAGG
Molecule: ribosomal RNA, 253 nt
Filed under: uncultured bacterium
Lineage: Bacteria
Description: partial 16S ribosomal RNA
Rfam family: Bacterial small subunit ribosomal RNA
Source: RNAcentral